UAACAAAGAGAAGCAAAGCCGCGAGGUAGAGCAAAUCUCAAAAAAACAAUCUCAGUUCAGACUGCAGGCUGCAACUCGCCUGCACGAAGUCGGAAUUGCUAGUAAUCGUAGGUCAGCAUACUACGGUGAAUACGUUCCCGGGCCUUGUACACACCGCCCGUCAAACCAUGAGAGUUGGCAACACCCGAAGUCGGUAGUCUAACCGCAAGGAGGACGCCGCCGAAGGUGGGGUUGAUGAUUAGGGUUAAGUCGUAACAAGGUACC
RNAcentral lists this ribosomal RNA (264 nucleotides) under uncultured bacterium. RNAcentral describes it as "partial 16S ribosomal RNA". It matches the Rfam family "Bacterial small subunit ribosomal RNA", at positions 1237 to 1500 of the family's 1533-position model. The record is from RNAcentral.